GAUGAACGCUAGCUACAGGCUUAACACAUGCAAGUCGCAGGGUAACAUGAGGAAAGCUUGCUUUCCUUGAUGACGACUGGCGCACGGGUGAGUAACGCGUAUCCAACCUUCCCAUAACUACGGGAUAACCCGUUGAAAGACGGCCUAAUACCGUAUGAUAUCGUUUGCUGACAUCAAAUAACGAUUAAAGGUUUAGCGGUUAUGGAUGGGGAUGCGUCUGAUUAGCUUGUUGGCGGGGUAACGGCCCACCAAGGCGACGAUCAGUAGGGGUUCUGAGAGGAAGGUCCCCCACAUUGGAACUGAGACACGGUCCAAACUCCUACGGGAGGCAGCAGUGAGGAAUAUUGGUCAAUGGGCGAGAGCCUGAACCAGCCAAGUAGCGUGCAGGACGACGGCCCUAUGGGUUGUAAACUGCUUUUAUGAGGGGAUAAAGUGCGUGACGUGUCAUGCAUUGCAGGUACCACAUGAAUAAGGACCGGCUAAUUCCGUG
This 490-nucleotide ribosomal RNA is filed under the name uncultured bacterium. Its description in RNAcentral is "partial 16S ribosomal RNA". It matches the Rfam family "Bacterial small subunit ribosomal RNA", at positions 28 to 507 of the family's 1533-position model. The record is from RNAcentral.